AGUUCAUCGUCGAUCCGUCGUCCCAUGCCCUCCUCAGAGACAGACCACGCCACAGAAGCCGCUAAAAUGGUGUUUUCGAGAUGUUUUAAGAGGGGCAGGUAGACACUUGAUGACAAUCAACGCAAAGGCACAAGGUCACUGUCAAGAUAAAGGAGAAAUGGCAUGUGUACUCCA
Molecule: long non-coding RNA, 174 nt
Organism: Strongylocentrotus purpuratus (purple sea urchin)
Lineage: Eukaryota; Metazoa; Echinodermata; Echinoidea; Camarodonta; Strongylocentrotidae
Exons: 2
Source: RefSeq, a predicted model, not a curated record